Long non-coding RNA from Vespula vulgaris, 2893 nucleotides. RefSeq lists it as uncharacterized. The record is from RefSeq and is a predicted model, not a curated record. NCBI's taxonomy places the organism in Eukaryota, Metazoa, Arthropoda, Insecta, Hymenoptera, Vespidae. The transcript has 4 exons.
UAAAUAUAUAUGAUCAAGGACGCAAGUAAUAUGUAAUCAAAGUUAGUUGGAAGCUAACGUUCGUCUACUUCGCAUGUUCCUUUGGGUACUCGCAGCCAUAUCUCUCAAUUAUUUAAGGUGACAGACAUUUUUUUCUUCUACGAAGAAAAAGAAAGGAAGCAGCUGUAUAAGUACGUCGAAAGAAAGAAAGAAAAUAUGAAAACUUCUACGCAGUAUUUCGAACGUGAUAAAAAGUCAAGACAGAGAUUAGUAUAUUUUUCUUAUACUUUAUCUAUUUCGUAAGACGAAGCUACGUUCGCAGCUAAGAUAUCACGGAUAGGAUUACGGAUGUUUUCAUCUUACGCUCCAGUUCUUUGCAAUAUCGCGAUCGCUUUUCCAACAAUAUCGAAUGAGACGCUUUUGAAAGGUAAAAUUGCUGGAAGGAGAGUAUUAGAUUGAGCAUUCCUUUCGCUGAACGAUAUGCACGUGAAAAUGACAAACGAGUCCUUUGAAGAACGAUCAACGAAAAUAACAAUCCUUCGCUGCAGCCAUAAAAGUUUCUCAUGCAUGAAUUUGGAUAACGAAGCGUUAAAAGAUUCUUCUGUGUUCGUGUAUUAAAUCACGGGAAGAAAGUUAAGAGAGGGAGAGAGAGAGAGAGAGGGAGGGAGAGAGAGAAAGAAAGAGAGAGAGGGAAAGAGAGGUUUUAACUUCGGUGAAUAUUUAUUUGCAUUUGUGAGUGCACGAGCUGAUAACGGCCAGGAAUUUUUUUUAUUAUAUUUUUUACUAUAAUCUCGAUGAUUUUUUAUCAUUUAAAUACGUAUGUCGUAUGAUCUUAAAAUAAAUACAAUGCAUCAUUUUGAAUUUAUUUAGAAAAUAAUUACAAAUUUAUUAUCGGAUUUAUUUCUUUUUUUUUUUUUUUAUGCGAAGUCAUUUAUUACUUUGUACAAUUUAGCAUAAGUACCAUCAAAUAAUAAUUUUUUUUUAUUCUCGAAGCAAAAUGGUAAAAAAGAGGGAUAAAAGAAACGAUAUUUAUUUAAUCACUUGAUUAAAGGUCGACAAAGUAUAUUGGGUAAAUCAAUAGCAUCGUAAGCUCACCUUAUCUAAGCUAUCCGUUCGAGUUUAAGUUCUUCAUACGCAUCAUCGUCACGGAACUAUUUUGUUAAAUAAACAAAAGCUAUUUGUAGUAUUUUCGCUGAUCAAAAUAGAAGCUCUCUUCAUGUCGACAAAUCGAAUUUAUAACAAUCCUGCGCCAUUAACAGAGAAAAUGUGAAGCGUACAACAAAGUCAUUAUGAGUUUCGUAAUCGUAUAAACUUUCAUAAUUAGUUACAAUGAUUAAUUCUGAAAUACAGUAUUCACUUUGUAAUAGAACACACGAUUUUUAAACUUAUGAUAUACCUAAUCCUAUUUUAUUAAAUUAUCCGUUGGACGUACUUGAAUGUAUAAUCAUUCAAAUUAACAAGAAAUUAAACAAUAUGCAAUAAUAUUGACUGAUUGUCAUAGUCGUAUAUAACAAAAAUUACGUUUAUAUUACUACGACAGAUAUUUAACGCUUACAACUUGAUAUCGUAUGUUAUCCUUAGAGUAUAUUAUUAUCCUAUUGUCUCGAGAAAUAUUAAAUAAAGUGUCUCUCGCAUUUUAAGGAUGAAGACAGAGUUUCGUGUCACGUAUUCCACAUGAGAAUAAUUUCGUUUACCACGUGGCUGCAUACGUGCAUCUGUUAAAUUUGUUGCCUCCAGUUGCACAUAUUCUUUUUGUUCUUUUUUUUUUCCAUGGCCUUUCAAAAAUCCAUUAUUAAAAUGAAUGCUUCUUUCAUGAUAAGCAAAAAAUAUAUUAAAUAAUUAAAUGUUUAGUUAAGCGAAAGGUAAAUGUAAUAUUAUAAUAGUUUAUUCAAUGCGUAAUUUUUUAUUAUUUAAAUAAGAUAAUUUUAUUCUAAUAUUUAAACGAAAUUUAUAGAAAUAUUUAUAUUCUUCUAAUAUGAUACUUGUAAUAUAAAUAAUAACGAUUGUGUAUGUGUAUUAAUAUAUAUAUAUUUAAAUUUACAAAAUUAUACUUUUAAACUUUAUCUUCUUAAUACUUAAAAAUUUUAAUAUUCUUCCGUGAUCUUCUAGCUUCUUCCUAGUUGGCAAAAGUUAAAACACCGAGGUAGAGUAGUUCUUAUCGGUACGAUGAAUCCUCCCCUUCAACCUUGCUAAACCCCACAAGAAAGGACUUUGUCCCCAAGGCUUUUAUAAAAAUUUGUUAUUAAUAUGCGAACUGCUUCUGCUUCUGCUUCUGCUUACACGAAGAAACUUAUUUCUUAUAACUAAAACAAAAAAAAAAUAAAAAAAUAUAUUUUAUAUAUCAAUUACAUAUAAAAAUAAAAAGGCAAAAUAUAAGAAAUUGUUUAUUGACGAAAAUUAUAUAAAAAGUUUUAAAAAGAAGUAUUAUCAUUUUAUUUUUUUAUUUCAUUGAAUUUCAUUAAAUUUUUUAUAUACUAUUGCUCAUAUCGAUUUUUACAAGCUAAAUACUUUUCUUCGGUUAAGUGCGUAUUUACUUCAUUUUUGUUUUAUAAACCACAUUAUCGUAUAAUAUGAAAUAAAAAAUUUAUGAGUCGACAAUCAUUGAAGAAUAGCAUAUUUAUGAAUCCAAUGGAAGAUUUAUAUAUAUUAACGUUUUAAAAGACGAGGAGCCGAUUUAUGAUCUCGGUUAUUUUUAUACCCAUAAAUCCCUCGUAAAUCUAUAACGUUUCGCGAUGAUAUUGAACAUAUCGAAAUCGUCAUCGUUCUAUCAAGAUAACUUGCUGUUUUACUCGCGAAUAACGUAAGACAUGAAAUACUUUGACAUAGCUUUAUUAUUGAUCUUCCUUAAUGUCAUAGGAAAUUUACAAUAAUUACUUUAGUGAGAAUAAGUGUUCUCUAUAUGGCAAAUACUAUA